CCUUGAAAUACCACCCUUUAAUGUUUGAUGUUCUAACGUGGACCCGUGAUCCGGGUUGCGGACAGUGUCUGGUGGGUAGUUUGACUGGGGCGGUCUCCUCCUAAAGAGUAACGGAGGAGCACGAAGGUUGGCUAAUCCUGGUCGGACAUCAGGAGGUUAGUGCAAUGGCAUAAGCCAGCUUGACUGCGAGCGUGACGGCGCGAGCAGGUGCGAAAGCAGGUCAUAGUGAUCCGGUGGUUCUGAAUGGAAGGGCCAUCGCUCAACGGAUAAAAGGUACUCCGGGGAUAACAGGCUGAUACCGCCCAAGAGUUCAUAUCGACGGCGGUGUUUGGCACCUCGAUGUCGGCUCAUCACAUCCUGGGGCUGAAGUAGGUCCCAAGGGUAUGGCUGUUCGCCAUUUAAAGUGGUACGCGAGCUGGGUUUAGAACGUCGUGAGACAGUUCGGUCCCUAUCUGCCGUGGGCGCUGGAGAACUGAGGGGGGCUGCUCCUAGUACGAGAGGACCGGAGUGGACGCAUCACUGGUGUUCGGGUUGUCAUGCCAAUGGCACUGCCCGGUAGCUAAAUGCGGAAGAGAUAAGUGCUGAAAGCAUCUAAGCACGAAACUUGCCCCGAGAUGAGUUCUCCCUGAGACUUUAAGUCUCCUGAAGGAACGUUGAAGACGAC
Molecule: ribosomal RNA, 664 nt
Filed under: Salmonella enterica
Lineage: Bacteria; Pseudomonadati; Pseudomonadota; Gammaproteobacteria; Enterobacterales; Enterobacteriaceae
Description: partial 23S ribosomal RNA
Rfam family: Bacterial large subunit ribosomal RNA
Source: RNAcentral